GGGGCAGUAGCUCAGACCGGGAGAGCGCAUCCCUCGCACGGAUGAGGUCGGCGGUUCGAAUCCGCCCUGCUCCACCU
RNAcentral lists this transfer RNA (77 nucleotides) under Candidatus Latescibacterota bacterium. RNAcentral's name for it is "tRNA-Ala". It matches the Rfam family "tRNA". Rfam says of the family: Transfer RNA (tRNA) molecules are approximately 80 nucleotides in length. Their secondary structure includes four short double-helical elements and three loops (D, anti-codon, and T loops). Lineage: Bacteria; Pseudomonadati; Candidatus Latescibacterota. The record is from RNAcentral.